This 253-nucleotide ribosomal RNA is filed under the name uncultured bacterium. RNAcentral describes it as "partial 16S ribosomal RNA". It matches the Rfam family "Bacterial small subunit ribosomal RNA", at positions 524 to 776 of the family's 1533-position model. The record is from RNAcentral.
UACGAAGGGGGCUAGCGUUGCUCGGAAUCACUGGGCGUAAAGCGCACGUAGGCGGGUCCUUAAGUCAGGGGUGAAAUCCUGGAGCUCAACUCCAGAACUGCCCUUGAUACUGAGGAUCUCGAGUUCGGGAGAGGUGAGUGGAACUGCGAGUGUAGAGGUGAAAUUCGUAGAUAUUCGCAAGAACACCAGUGGCGAAGGCGGCUCACUGGCCCGGUACUGACGCUGAGGUGCGAAAGCGUGGGGAGCAAACAGG